This 404-nucleotide ribosomal RNA is filed under the name uncultured bacterium. Its description in RNAcentral is "bacterial SSU rRNA". It matches the Rfam family "Bacterial small subunit ribosomal RNA", at positions 355 to 776 of the family's 1533-position model. The record is from RNAcentral.
UGGGGAAUAUUGGACAAUGGGCGAAAGCCUGAUCCAGCAAUGCCGCGUGAGUGAUGAAGGCCUUAGGGUUGUAAAGCUCUUUCGCCUGCGACGAUGAUGACGGUAGCAGGAGAAGAAGCCCCGGCUAAUUCCGUGCCAGCAGCCGCGGUAAUACGGAAGGGGCUAGCGUUGUUCGGAAUUACUGGGCGUAAAGCGCGCGUAGGCGGCUGGGUAAGUGUGGCGUGAAAGUCCUGGGCUCAACCUGGGGACGGCGCUGCAGACUGCCUGGCUGGAGUCCGGAAGAGGGUAGUGGAAUUCCGAGUGUAGAGGUGAAAUUCGUAGAUAUUCGGAGGAACACCGGUGGCGAAGGCGGCUACCUGGUCCGGUACUGACGCUGAAGUGCGAAAGCGUGGGGAGCAAACAGG